Molecule: long non-coding RNA, 1832 nt
Organism: Hemibagrus wyckioides
Lineage: Eukaryota; Metazoa; Chordata; Actinopteri; Siluriformes; Bagridae
Exons: 6
Source: RefSeq, a predicted model, not a curated record
AAUUCACAAGAAUAGAACAGAACAUUGCAUGGUCUCCCACUUAACUGAAUAUUUUCCACUGAAACCACUGGCAAUCAUGUGCUAGGCUGUUACAGAAACAUCCAAAACCAUUUAUUGUGGUGGAUGGCUAAGUUGAGCAGUUAGUCUCUUUUCAAUUGUUUACUGGCUUCAGACCUGGAUUUUUGAGAUAAUCCAUAGCCUACCACCCAGAGCCGAAGCAGGUAUUUCAGCCAGCUGGACCUUGUGUUUUGACGGUACAGGUGACCCUUGAACAAGCACAUCAAACAAAACUACUUCAGCCAACUGUUUAAAACAGUUGGAAUUAGUGGGGAAAAAAGAAGAAGUGUGUGCUGUGUAGGGAACUCCUGAUGUAGGAGUUCAGCAGACACAAAGCCAGAAAUGUUUAGAGUUAAUCGUGUGAUGUCAGCAGUUAGAUAUCCUAGUCAUACUGAUCAGGGUUUGAUAAGGCUGCUGUUCUCUGUCACUUAUCUGGAUGUGAUAUCUAAGUUUGGAGAGAAGUGCAAAUAUGAAGUUGCUGCGCAACCCCUGAUAUGUAGCUGAUACGGGUCACAGUAACAACCCACAUGAUUGUCUGAACCUGAAGUUUCCCAGCAGAACAUUGCUCAGACCUUCACACUGCCUCUACCUGCUUGCCUUCUUCCCAUAGUGCAUCCUAGUGCCAUGUCUUCCUCUGGAAUGUCUGAGCUGGGGAUAAUGAAACUGUGGCUGUGUACUUUUAAGAAGGAAGCACUAUCUGACACCCAACCCUUCCUCUUCCUGCAGUAGGGCACAAUCCUUUCACAUGAAUGCAGAAAUUUAUCACAUGACAAAGUUUUCCCAUCCCACCCAAGAUGUGACUGAGUAGGUAACAGCAUUGAAAUCAUUUUUGCUUAACCACAACUUCCCCCUAUCACCGGUCGCAACUUCUGCUGAAACCAUCUUGCAACUACGGGUGACAGCAUUUCCUGUUGGAGUUUAUUUUUGCCCAUUUACCAUAAUGUAGGCACCGUAAUCAGAUGGCAUCAAAAAAUAGUAUGAAUGAGUCAAACGGAAAAAAGAGGUUUCUGCUGUGGGAAUGAACAGGUCCAGGGCCAAUGACCAUGAUGUUGAUUUUUAUUUCAAAAAAUUAAGCAAACCAAGCAUCUAGUUACACAGCAGCAGAGGAAUUUACUCUGGUCUAUGAUACCAUGAUUACAAGAGUAAGAGUUUUCUCGCUGGGUGGUUUCACCCUGACAUUGACCCAACCACUGGGUGUGAUCCUUUUCUCAGCAAACACACAACUGUCACAGAAGAAGUACAGAAGCUCUACUUAAGAGAGCUUUUAUUAUGUAUUUAUUUAUAUAGUAGAUGAUAUAUACAAAGGAAUAAAUAUUGACAUGUGAAAGCUGUACAAAUCGGUAGAGAGCUGUUAUUUAAUUCCCAUAUUGUAUGUUUAACGAGAAUUACUGAAAAUCUUAUAUAAUGAUUGUACCUCAAGGUAUUAUGAUUUUUCUCACAAGUAAGCCUCUGUGUUUAGAAUGAAAUCAUCAGUAGACUGGGUUUGGUGAUAAACAAGGAAGAGAAGGGAAUAUCUAAUGAAUAUCUGAUGACGAAAAGGGAAUAUCUGAGGAAUAUCUGAUGACGAAAAGGGAAUAUCUGAGGAAUAUCUGAUGAAGAAAAGGGAAUAUCUGAUGAAUAUCUGAUGAAGAAAAGGCAAUAUCUGAUGAAUCUAAUAUUCCAACUAACUUGUCAGAUGUAAUGAAUUUGGCUAAAACCACAGCUGAUGGGAUUUCCCCAGACAACAAUGUGACAGGUCCAUCCAUGACACGGUUAUUGCACACGCUAAUGUCGCC